Molecule: ribosomal RNA, 388 nt
Filed under: Denitromonas halophila
Lineage: Bacteria; Pseudomonadati; Pseudomonadota; Betaproteobacteria; Rhodocyclales; Zoogloeaceae
Description: bacterial SSU rRNA
Rfam family: Bacterial small subunit ribosomal RNA
Source: RNAcentral
UGCCGGUGACAAACCGGAGGAAGGUGGGGAUGACGUCAAGUCCUCAUGGCCCUUAUGGGUAGGGCUUCACACGUCAUACAAUGGUCGGUACAGAGGGUUGCCAAGCCGCGAGGUGGAGCUAAUCUCUUAAAGCCGAUCGUAGUCCGGAUCGUAGUCUGCAACUCGACUACGUGAAGUCGGAAUCGCUAGUAAUCGCAGAUCAGCAUGCUGCGGUGAAUACGUUCCCGGGUCUUGUACACACCGCCCGUCACACCAUGGGAGUGGGUUUCACCAGAAGUAGGUAGCUUAACCUUCGGGGGGGCGCUUACCACGGUGAGAUUCAUGACUGGGGUGAAGUCGUAACAAGGUAGCCGUAUCGGAAGGUGCGGCUGGAUCACCUCCUUUCAAG